Molecule: unclassified non-coding RNA, 557 nt
Filed under: Diaporthe sp. M41
Lineage: Eukaryota; Fungi; Ascomycota; Sordariomycetes; Diaporthales; Diaporthaceae
Description: partial contains 18S rRNA, ITS1, 5,8S rRNA, ITS2 and 28S rRNA
Rfam family: 5.8S ribosomal RNA (bases 194-347)
Source: RNAcentral
ACGCGGAGGGAUCAUUGCUGGAAACGCGCCCCAGGCGCACCCAGAAACCCUUUGUGAACUUAUACCUUUCUGGUGCCCCCGCCCCAGGCGGCCCCCCCCGGGGCCCCCCCGAAACCAAGAACCAGGCCCCCCGCCGGCCAAUUUACUCUUGGUUUUUCCCUGGAACUCUUAAAAAAAAACCCCAAUGAAUCAAAACUUUCAACAACGGAUCUCUUGGUUCUGGCAUCGAUGAAGAACGCAGCGAAAUGCGAUAAGUAAUGUGAAUUGCAGAAUUCAGUGAAUCAUCGAAUCUUUGAACGCACAUUGCGCCCUCUGGUAUUCCGGAGGGCAUGCCUGUUCGAGCGUCAUUUCAACCCUCAAGCCUUUGUUGGUGGUGGGGCCCUGGUUUUUACCCCGAAACCCGGCCCGAAAUCUCUUGGGGAGAUCUCCCCGGGCCCCAGCGCACUAUAUUAACCCCCUCUCUGGGAAGGGCCGGGGGGGCCCCGUCCCUUAACCCCCCAAUUUUUAAAAAUUUACCCCUGAUCUCGGGUGGAAACCCCCUCAAAUUUAACCUAUAA